AGCAGUGUUAGUGGAGGUGUGCUGUGCAGCAGUGUUAGUGGAGGUGCUGCUGUGCAGCAGUGUUAGUGGAGGUGCUGCUGUGCAGCGGUGUUAGUGGAGGUGCUCUGUGUGCAGCAGUGUUAGUGGAGGUGCUCUGUGCAGCAGUGUUAGUGGAGGUGUGCUGUGCAGCAGUGUUAGUGGAGGUGCUGCUGUGCAGCAGUGUUAGUGGAGGUGCUGCUGUGCAGCGGUGUUAGUGGAGUGUGUUAGUGGAGGUGCUCUGUGCAGCAGGUUAGUGGAGGUGUGUUAGUGGGAGUGCUGCUGUGCAGCAGUGUUAGUGGAGGUGUGCUGUGCAGCAGUGUUAGUGGAGGUGCUGCUGUGCAGCAGUGUUAGUGGAGGUGCUGCUGUGCAGCGGUGUUAGUGGAGGUGCUGCUGUGCAGCCGGUGUUAGUGGAGGUGCUGCUGUGCAGCAGUGUUAGUGGAGGUGUGCUGUGCAGCAGUGUUAGUGGAGGUGCUCUGUGCAGCAGUGUUAGUGGAGGUGCUGCUGUUGCAGCAGUGUUAGUGGAGGUGCUCUGUGCAGCAGUUGUUAGUGGAGGUGUGU
Salvelinus sp. IW2-2015 is the source of this 576-nucleotide non-coding RNA. Lineage: Eukaryota; Metazoa; Chordata; Actinopteri; Salmoniformes; Salmonidae. The record is from RefSeq and is a predicted model, not a curated record.